Molecule: regulatory RNA element, 82 nt
Organism: Actinomadura madurae
Lineage: Bacteria; Bacillati; Actinomycetota; Actinomycetes; Streptosporangiales; Thermomonosporaceae
Rfam family: Actino-pnp RNA
Source: Rfam
GCCGGUCCUCGGUAGUGGCUUCCGGAUCCGUUCCGCCUUGUCGGCGGACCUGCCGAUCCGGGUGCUUCGAUCGAAGACCGGC